Molecule: long non-coding RNA, 1248 nt
Organism: Helianthus annuus (common sunflower)
Lineage: Eukaryota; Viridiplantae; Streptophyta; Magnoliopsida; Asterales; Asteraceae
Exons: 3
Source: RefSeq, a predicted model, not a curated record
UUGUGCAAACCAAUCACAGUGUGUCUUCACACACUUAAAACUUCACACAAACAACCCUCACUACCCACCUCCCUCUCGAUUAUUUUUCAGUAAACAUAAAGAACUCAUGACACACACACACACAUAAAAUACCUCCCUCUCUCUCACUAUUACCUAAACAAACACAGGAAUCAACUCCUCACAAAACAAAACCCAACCCAGCCACACCCCUCCCCUCCCUCUCGAUCUUUUCUCGGUGAAGACAAGCACCCGACCGGCGAGACCACCGGCGGAGCUCCGGUUGGUCAGGUGGUGCCGGUGAGGCCCCCAUGACUCCCCCGUCUUCUUUCUUGUCUGACGGAUCGGACCACCGCCACCACCACCGUCUAGUGGUGGUGCGGCGACUAACAAACAGAGAGAGAGAGAGAGAGAGACAGAAGGAAUGGAGAGGAGAGAGAGAUAACCGGUGGGGUGGUGAGCGGUGGUAACUUCUCGGACCGGUGGUCCUCACCUCGAACUAGUGGUCCUUGUCUCGGACCGGUGGUCCUUGACAUUAUCCGUCGCGUUUCGCGAUUUAUUUUUCGUUCGGGUCUCGUAAAGUUUGGUUUCGGUUCAAAGCUCGAUCUCAGUCAGGGACGCCCGUUCGGUUAACUCGGUGGUGGUUCGGUUCAGUCGCGUAUGAGGUUCAACAGGUUUGGGUUUGUUUCGGAUAUCUCUUUUAUUUCAGCUCAGAUUUUCAGCUUCGGGUGUUUUGUUUCAUCUCAGAUCUUGGUUCGAGAGUUCAAGUCAGCCGCGGUUCAGGAAGUUCGAGUCACGGUUCGGUUUUUGGGGUUUGGGUGACGUCUCGGCUCGGGUCAACAGUCAAAGUCCGUCAACGGGUCAGCUUGGUUCGGGUCAGAUUAUGAAGCGGUUUGGUCGACUCGGUCAAACCGAGUCAACCCGGUCAAACACGGUCAACCCGAGUCAACUCAGUUGACUCGGUCGACUUGCAGCAAAAGCGGGGCGAAGACUCGGUUGCAUUUCUAAGACAAGGCACGGUUGGAAUAGGAGGACCAUGAAGAGUCGAGUACUUAGUGGCGUUCAUUUUCUAAAAGACUUAGAUUGUUUGCUUCCGCUGUGCAAUGAAGAUACCAGUCCAGUCACGCCAAUGCUCUGAUAAUUUCGGGGUGUGACAUUUUCAUCUAUAAACGUGCAAGGAGACCCAAACGGCUCCAAAAACUCAAGAUUUGGCUUAUAACGGUGCAGCAGCUCAAAGCAAGUCUUUUUAUA